Molecule: transfer RNA, 96 nt
Filed under: Cognaticolwellia beringensis
Lineage: Bacteria; Pseudomonadati; Pseudomonadota; Gammaproteobacteria; Alteromonadales; Colwelliaceae
Also listed under: 1 other name
Description: Colwellia beringensis tRNA-Ile
Source: RNAcentral
UCCUCAAUAGCUCAGUUGGUAGAGCAACGGACUGUACUCUUAUAAUAAACAGGCGUUUGUCCCUGUUGGUUAUUUCAAGUCCAGGUUGAGGAGCCA